UGGCAUAUGGAGUUCCUGGGCCAGGCAUCAGAUCCAAGCCACAGAUGUGACCUACACUACAGCAACACCAGAUCCUUUAACUCACUAUGAGGGAUCAAACCCUCAUCCUGGCGUUACAGAGACACCAUGGAUCUCAUUGUGCCACAGCAGGAACACCUGCAGAUUUUUUUUUUCUUUUUGUCUUUUUGCCAUUUCUUGAGCCACUCUGGCGGCAUAUGGAGGUUCCCAGGCUAGGGGUCCAACUGGAGCCGUAGCCACCGGCCUACGCCAGAGCCACAGCAACGUGGGAUCCAAGCUGUGUCUUCGAACUACACCGCAGCUCACGGCAACGACGGAUCCUUAACCCACUGAGCAAGGCCAGGGAUCGAUCCUGUAAUCCCAUGGUUCCUAGUCGGAUUCUUAAUCACUGCGCCACCGCAAGACCAUUGGUUAACUGACAUUUUGAUUCGUGUUUCAUACAUUGUGAGUUCAAGGAGUUGUCGGGAGAGUUUCAGCAGGCAGGGCUGUUGCUUUUCCUUUAUACAAACAAGCCAGUCUCCUGUUUGCAAAGAUCCCCUCCAGUGUACCUGCAGGAUCCACUCACUAUAGCACUUUCAUUCCUCUUGCCCUGAGCGGUGGAGGGCGCGAGCCAGCAGUGUGCUUGUCGGGAACGCAACUCCUCCACAAAGCUGGCUAUUUCUUGGACCUGCAGGGGUGAGUCUACACUUCCGUACACUUCCAUCUCCACCCAGGCCAACAAUUUGCCACAAUCAAGCAUCCUUUUCUACAGACACAGGACAGAACACCUCCCGAGCUGGAUAGGUUCCUUUAUGGAGGGAACAUCAGGGAUGAAGAAACCCCUAGGCCCUAAACUGAGAGUCUCAGCUCUUCUCCCACUUCAAGGCCCAUCAAAAGUGGCAUCCUUGAGACACUUUCUCCUCAGUCCCAUUCCCAGGUCAUGCUCUGGUUCAGCCCACACCCUCCAGCCCUGGAAGAGCCUCAGCCCAGCGCCUCUGCCCAGCAGCCAGAUCUUUAUGUCCACAUACACAUGGGAUGCCUCAAGCUCGAGAGAUGGCAGGAGCUCUCAUCUAAAAUUCCUCUCAGGAUCUUCACGCUGGAAUAUGCUCCUUGUCAUGACUUCCCCAACUCAACUCCUCCAGAUGAAAAAAAAAAAAAAAACACAACAAAACAAAACCUUGAAAUGGUCUUUUACUCCCUACUGCUGCUCACAGCUGUAGGUGGUGCAUGAAAAAGUCCUGUAGACUCUAGGGAUGAAAUUAGGGCAGAAUCUCAUCCAAUCACGCAUGUGCCACGACCUCCGGGUCUUAACAUAAUUUUCCAGGAGUCUGUGGUGGUGGUCUUCUCUUGCAGUCUCCCUGCCCACAGCGCACCCGGUCUUCCAAAUUUUAUUUUAUUAUUUUAUUUUAUUUUGUUGUCUUUUUGCCAUUUCUUGGGCCGCUCCCGCGGCAUAUGGAGAUUCCCAGGCUAGAGGUCCAAGCAGAGCUGUAGCCGCUG
Molecule: long non-coding RNA, 1494 nt
Filed under: Sus scrofa (pig)
Lineage: Eukaryota; Metazoa; Chordata; Mammalia; Artiodactyla; Suidae
Description: lncRNA (ENSSSCG00065032757.1)
Source: RNAcentral